GAGACACCCUUAUGGUGCAGGGCUUGCUUCAGUGGGGCUUUGGUGCUCACUGAGUCUGCCCCCUGGGUGUGUCUUU
This 76-nucleotide microRNA precursor is filed under the name Myotis davidii. RNAcentral's name for it is "mir-9229 microRNA precursor family". It matches the Rfam family "mir-9229 microRNA precursor family". The record is from Rfam by way of RNAcentral. Lineage: Eukaryota; Metazoa; Chordata; Mammalia; Chiroptera; Vespertilionidae.